AUACGAAGGUCCCAAGCGUUGUUCGGAUUUACUGGGCGUAAAGCGUGCGUAGGCGGCAAGGUAAGUCAGAUGUGAAAUCCCGGGGCUCAACCCCGGAACUGCAUCCGAUACUGCCUUGCUAGAGUAAUGGAGGGGCAUCUGGAAUUCAUGGUGUAGCAGUGAAAUGCGUAGAUAUCAUGAGGAAAACUAGUGGCGAAGGCGAGAUGCUGGACAUUUACUGACGCUGAGGUACGAAGGCCAGGGUAGCGAAAAGGAUUAGAAACCCUAGUAGUCC
This 274-nucleotide ribosomal RNA is filed under the name uncultured bacterium. RNAcentral describes it as "partial 16S ribosomal RNA". It matches the Rfam family "Bacterial small subunit ribosomal RNA", at positions 523 to 796 of the family's 1533-position model. The record is from RNAcentral.